RNAcentral lists this long non-coding RNA (2937 nucleotides) under Triticum aestivum (bread wheat). RNAcentral's name for it is "long non-coding RNA (TAES_LNC022047)". The record is from RNAcentral. Lineage: Eukaryota; Viridiplantae; Streptophyta; Magnoliopsida; Poales; Poaceae.
UUUGUUUGGUUUUUUUUUGGUUGCAAAUGGUUACUUCUACUGAUCAAUUCCACAGCCUCUCUGGAAUUCUGACAAAUUAGUUUAGCAUCAGCUGAACCUUUUAGUUACAAUGUACCAAUAUCAAUUUUUGGAUUCUCCAACAAAGUAACUGAACUAAUUUGCAAGGUAGAAGGUUAUCCAUGUUGAUGUUGAUUAGCUAUUCACUGCCUUUGGCAUCCGCUGGUGCGGCAACUGCAGACGAUGAUUUAUAUAGUUGAAUUGUGUGUUGUGCCAACUUGAUGUAAAUUUCUUGUUUUGCUUGCUUAUGCUGUCAUCUGUAAGACACUGAAAGGCCAUGUACUUACUUUUACGUUCAUGUUCUGAUAUAAUGAAGACUGUUCCACCGAGAUGAGGGGGAAAAAUAUCGCCUGUCUCAAUUAUGGAAAAAACAAUAUAAACCUUUGAUGUCCUGCUGUCUCUGAGUCCAAUCUGUGUGCCAAGUAUUGUCUAAAUCAUUUUUAGUUGAGUUCCAUAACUAUAUUAUCUUAAAACUAGCUAUCAGAAUACUACUGGUAACUAAUGAUUUAGAGACAUAUAGGCUGAAAGACCAUUGGACAGUGAUGCGAAGAUGCUAACAAGCUGGUGCUAUUAAAAGCACAUCUCACAAUUAAUUUGCAUUUCUUACUGUUUUACAGUAGCACAUAAUAUACUCUUCUGAAAUUUUAGAGAUGCCCAAUGAAUCGCAGGUCUUGAAUCAGUUUGUCCUUCUGUACAUACAAUUUGAUAGCAUCGGGAACUAAGGAGAAGGACAAAUAUGACAUACCGGGCUGACAAUGAACACAUGUCCAAGUUGCUAUUUUCAAAUGAAUUUUAGUCUGCAGGAUGCAACCUAUCACCAGAAUCUAUUGGCAAUGAUAGGAUUUUGCAAGCAAUGACUGCUCAUGAACAGCUCACAAACAUGUUUGUAAGAUUCAGCCCUCCCAUUGACCGUCAAAAGUAUCCUAUGAGAUUAAUUAGAAUAUUAGUGUGCUGGAUUUACUUUUGUUCAUUGUGGAUGAGUAGGCAUCAUAGUCUCUAAAAUCUACAGUGCAUCAAUCUCAAUUUUUGGAUUCUCAGAAAAGUAACUGGAUUAUUCAUGUUGAUGUUGAUCAGUAAUUCAUUGUCAGGCCAAGUUGGCUAACACUGAAAUAUUGGUAGGAAGCAUAAAGGCCACAUGAGAAGAAUUGUUGUUUGGAUGUUUAAAACUACUUAUGACCUAUCUCAUUUGAUAUCUGAAAUCUGUAGGAAACUACAAAUAUAUUUCUUUAUUUUGUAACCGAAGCUUUUGACUUUUUAGGGAGGGCUCUUGUUCUUGGCAAGUAUGUGUGCAGUAGCAGAGGCAAUAUAUGUACUUUCCCUACUAUAGUUGACACCGACCUCAAUUUUUGGAUUCUCCAGAAAAGUAACUGGAUUAUUCAUGUUGAUCGUUUAGUUUGUAGUUGGCUUAUGUUGAAAUAUUAAUAGGAGGCAUACUAGAGACCCCCUUCUUUAUUGUGAACUUGCUGUUAAUUUCCUUGAUGUAAUUUUCCUGUUUCAUGUGUAGGAAUCUUAUGCUGUCAUUUGUAAGACACGGAAAGAUCAUUUACUUAUUUUUACGUUUUUCUCAUAUACUCCCUCUGUAAACAAAUAUGAGAGCAUUUAGAUCACUACUUUAGUGAUCUAAACGCUCCUAUAUAUCUUUACGGAGGGAGUAAUGACUAUUGUCAUCCACCUGGACAAAGUAAAAACAUCGAUAUGUUUCAACUAUGGGAAAAGAAAUACAACCUUUGAUUUCCUACUUUCUGGCAGUCCAUUCUGUGUAGAAAUUGUUCUCCAUGUAGACUGUAGUACGUUUGCUGCUCUACUGACUGUGUUGAGCUGCUGGUUGGUUGAGAAUGAUCAGUCGGUCAUACACUCAGUACCUGAAUGUCAAUGCAGUGUAUUAGCAUCCGAUUACAUGGUAGGUACAGUAUGUAAAAGAUUGGCAUUAUAUCUUGAAAACCAUACCUGCGCAGCCUCGAAAUAUCUCUGACGUACAGAAAUAUGUAGCAGUUUGCAAGAAUUUCUCGCGUUAACGAUGGAAAACAGGAGCCGGGCUUUUUUCUUGAUGGUUUCAGGAUAGCCUCCAUACACCUACGGGAAUCAAUAUCAGACCACCGAAAUCAGGAAGGUAACUUGAAAGGGCAAAAAUGAAGCACUCACCAGGCAAUCGUGCAGUUCAACUAUCUUUGAAUUGCUGCAGUGUCUGCAGAGCAUGAUGAUGAAAGACAGUUUCAGAAGCUAUAGAUGUUUAGCCAUCGUUGCCCGUGUACAUAGCCUGCAACACCAGUAUUUUCUUAAACAUUUGGUAUCUUUAUGUCACAAAGAGUACCGAUCUGUCAAAUUCGUUGUUUUUCAGAAAAUCUGAUUGCUGAUUGAUCCCUGCAAUGCAGCUGGCUCUCAAAGAAUGUCCAAUAAAUGGAACCAAACCGGUUUCUUCAGCCAAAUUGGCAUAUGAUCCUCCCAAGUCUCCAAAAGCAAAAUCAUGUUGUAACAAAAACACAACAUCAACUACCAUUACAUAACAGAGAUCAGACAGAUAGUUGGGACAUGCAUCAAACGAGUAACUAGUUCAGAACAGAGGCUUCCCAAAAGAUGCACCAGACCAUUGCUAUUUCAGAUCGAUCAGUCACAUGACACGGUAACAUCACCAACCCAACUACAAACUAAACGAUAUUCCACCGAUUUCCAUUGAGCAACACUAAUUCUGGGCAAACAGCACCCAACUACAGCUGCCAGAGACUGAAUCUAAGAGGAGGUGAACUUGGUGACGGCCUUGGUGCCCUCAGAGACGGCGUGCUUGGCGAGCUCUCCGGGGAGGACGAGGCGGACGGAGGUCUGGAUCUCGCGGGAGGUGAUCGUGGGCUUCUUGUUGUAGCGGGCGAGCUUGGCGGCCUCCCC